This 51-nucleotide non-coding RNA is filed under the name Schistosoma mansoni. Lineage: Eukaryota; Metazoa; Platyhelminthes; Trematoda; Strigeidida; Schistosomatidae. The record is from RNAcentral.
AUCCAGCUGACGAGUUCCAAAUAGGACAUCGAAACGCGCGUCAAACUAGAU